RNAcentral lists this ribosomal RNA (430 nucleotides) under Phytopythium oedochilum. Its description in RNAcentral is "5.8S rRNA". The stretch from base 1 to 149 matches the Rfam family "5.8S ribosomal RNA". Lineage: Eukaryota; Oomycota; Peronosporomycetes; Pythiales; Pythiaceae. The record is from RNAcentral.
CAGCAGUGGAUGUCUAGGCUCGCACAUCGAUGAAGAACGCUGCGAACUGCGAUACGUAAUGCGAAUUGCAGGAUUCAGUGAGUCAUCGAAAUUUUGAACGCAUAUUGCACUUUCGGGUUUUGCCUGGAAGUAUGUCUGUAUCAGUGUCCGUACACUAAACUUGCCUUUCUUGCGUCGUGUAGUCGUCGCUUGGAAUGCGCAGAUGUGAGGUGUCUUGCGGAGUUGUUCUGUCUGUUUCGGACAGGGUAGACGCGCAAGUCCCUUUAAAGUGUGACGUGUUUCUCUGUAGUGCGCUGUGGCAGCUUUUGGUGGCGUGCGGGACGUAGUCUGUGGACGAGUCUGGCGACCUUUGGCGCUUGCAUUGUGGGGAUUCCUUAAUUGGCGGUAUGUUCGGCUUCGGCUUUGACAAUGCAGCUUAUUUUGGUUUCUC